UGUAGACUUAAUUAUUAUGGAAUAUUAUGGUUAUGGGUCAAGUCUAUGUAGGAUGUAAUACUGUAUGUGGUAUGAGUGUGGAUCAUCAUGCAGUUUCACAUAAGGGUCUCUGGAGAAGGAUUGGUAAAUAACUAAUGUACAUACUAUUGUUGAUUAAUAUGCAAGUAAAAUCCUGAAAAUCAAGAGAAUAUUUUGGACUUGAAAGGCAUAGCAAUUUAUUCAUAUUAGAUUCUCCUCUUGUCGGUUAGUCAUGCUGUCCCUUUUCUAAUUUGAGGUUCUGCUAACUAAUCUUUUUCUUCAGGUGGCAGAAA
RNAcentral lists this unclassified non-coding RNA (311 nucleotides) under Hevea brasiliensis (rubber tree). The record is from RNAcentral. Lineage: Eukaryota; Viridiplantae; Streptophyta; Magnoliopsida; Malpighiales; Euphorbiaceae.